This 909-nucleotide ribosomal RNA is filed under the name uncultured bacterium. RNAcentral describes it as "bacterial SSU rRNA". It matches the Rfam family "Bacterial small subunit ribosomal RNA", at positions 1 to 899 of the family's 1533-position model. RNAcentral also lists the same sequence under 1 other name. The record is from RNAcentral.
UGGAUCCAGACUUUGAUUAUGGCUCAGGAUGAACGCUAGCUACAGGCUUAACACAUGCAAGUCGAGGGGAAACGACAUCGAAAGCUUGCUUUUGAUGGGCGUCGACCGGCGCACGGGUGAGUAACGCGUAUCCAACCUGCCCACCACUUGGGGAUAACCUUGCGAGAGUAAGACUAAUACCCAAUGAUAUCUCUAGAAGACAUCUGAAAGAGAUUAAAGAUUUAUCGGUGAUGGAUGGGGAUGCGUCUGAUUAGCUUGUUGGCGGGGUAACGGCCCACCAAGGCAACGAUCAGUAGGGGUUCUGAGAGGAAGGUCCCCCACAUUGGAACUGAGACACGGUCCAAACUCCUACGGGAGGCGGCAGUGAGGAAUAUUGGUCAAUGGACGAGAGUCUGAACCAGCCAAGUAGCGUGCAGGAUGACGGCCCUAUGGGUUGUAAACUGCUUUUAUAAGGGAAUAAAGUGAGUCUCGUGAGACUUUUUGCAUGUACCUUAUGAAUAAGGACCGGCUAAUUCCGUGCCAGCAGCCGCGGUAAUACGGAAGGUCCGGGCGUUAUCCGGAUUUAUUGGGUUUAAAGGGAGCGUAGGCCGGAGAUUAAGCGUGUUGUGAAAUGUAGACGCUCAACGUCUGCACUGCAGCGCGAACUGGUUUCCUUGAGUACGCACAAAGUGGGCGGAAUUCGUGGUGUAGCGGUGAAAUGCUUAGAUAUCACGAAGAACUCCGAUUGCGAAGGCAGCUCACUGGAGCGCAACUGACGCUGAAGCUCGAAAGUGCGGGUAUCGAACAGGAUUAGAUACCCUGGUAGUCCGCACGGUAAACGAUGGAUGCCCGCUGUUGGUCUGAAUAGGUCAGCGGCCAAGCGAAAGCAUAAAGCAUCCCACCUGGGGAGUACGCCGGCAACGGUGCAAA